ACGCUGGCGGCAGGCCUAACACAUGCAAGUCGAGCGGUAGAGAGAAGCUUGCUUCUCUUGAGAGCGGCGGACGGGUGAGUAAUGCCUAGGAAUCUGCCUGGCAGUGGGGGAUAACGUUCGGAAACGGACGCUAAUACCGCAUACGUCCUACGGGAGAAAGCAGGGGACCUUCGGGCCUUGCGCUAUCAGAUGAGCCUAGGUCGGAUUAGCUAGUUGGUGAGGUAAUGGCUCACCAAGGCGACGAUCCGUAACUGGUCUGAGAGGAUGAUCAGUCACACUGGAACUGAGACACGGUCCAGACUCCUACGGGAGGCAGCAGUGGGGAAUAUUGGACAAUGGGCGAAAGCCUGAUCCAGCCAUGCCGCGUGUGUGAAGAAGGUCUUCGGAUUGUAAAGCACUUUAAGUUGGGAGGAAGGGUUGUAGAUUAAUACUCUGCAAUUUUGACGUUACCGACAGAAUAAGCACCGGCUAACUCUGUGCCAGCAGCCGCGGUAAUACAGAGGGUGCAAGCGUUAAUCGGAAUUACUGGGCGUAAAGCGCGCGUAGGUGGUUUGUUAAGUUGGAUGUGAAAUCCCCGGGCUCAACCUGGGAACUGCAUUCAAAACUGACUGACUAGAGUAUGGUAGAGGGUGGUGGAAUUUCCUGUGUAGCGGUGAAAUGCGUAGAUAUAGGAAGGAACACCAGUGGCGAAGGCGACCACCUGGACUAAUACUGACACUGAGGUGCGAAAGCGUGGGGAGCAAAC
RNAcentral lists this ribosomal RNA (745 nucleotides) under uncultured bacterium. RNAcentral describes it as "bacterial SSU rRNA". It matches the Rfam family "Bacterial small subunit ribosomal RNA", at positions 33 to 773 of the family's 1533-position model. The record is from RNAcentral.